Molecule: long non-coding RNA, 841 nt
Organism: Cornus florida
Lineage: Eukaryota; Viridiplantae; Streptophyta; Magnoliopsida; Cornales; Cornaceae
Exons: 3
Source: RefSeq, a predicted model, not a curated record
UGAAUCGCUCUUGGUGCAAGCAAAGUCGAAUAAAGAGAGCUACAAAGAACAUCUUCGCGCCUUCUCUCUCGCACAGUGUUUGAAAUCAGAUAACGCUAACAAUAGAAGUACCAUUAGUAUUUGCUGAGGACAUAGUUGGACUUGCUGGAGCGAAUGCUGCUUACAUUCAUCAUACUAGUGGAGCAUAUUUUGCUGUGUCAGAGAAUCCAGACAAUGUUGACAAGGUCACGAUCGAAAUUAGAGGCACCCUUUCACAGGUUAAGAAGGCUGACCAACUUUUAUGGGAGUCAAUAGAAAUAACUCGAAGCUUCUGGGGGGAAUUUCGCACCAGAUCGAGUUCCUACUCACAUUUGGCUGGAAGCUACCCUUCAUCUUCAUUUGCAUCUGGGCCAUCAAGAAGGGUAAAAACCUAAUUUUGGAGGCUACGGCGGUGAGAGAUUUUGGGAGAACUAAUUAUAUUUCCCUUCUUGGACUCCCUAAAACAACAUCUCGUGGUGGUCUAUAUUGUAAGAGAACAAAGAAAAAUAUUUUGUGUGCUGAAAGUGAUUAGCUCCUCUAUGUUCUUGUGUAUGUUUCCUUUUUGAAGUUUUUGCUUGCAUUUACUAAAUUUUCUCUCCGAUCUGGGGACAGAUACCCUUGAAUUUGAACUUGUCAUAAAUCAAUACACCACAAUAGCUAUUUUUUGUUUACCAAGCGACCCAAACAUAUUCAUGAUUGUCCAUGCAUUUUUCAAACUCUUUACUUCCGUUAUAUUGGCAGAGUUUCUUUUGGCCGGCCUUUUACAAUUUUACCCCAUACAAGUAUUUGUGUUCUACUACUUUCUGUACUUUGUUCUUUUCUU